GAGAGGCAGAAUAGCUCCCUUAGCUUAUGGAUUGGAGUCUGCUCCUGAGGAAGAAGGUGUGGAUCUUGGAGCAGGAAUAUGAUUCUGGGAAAACCGGUCUAUAAGAAGAAGGAUAUUUGGAUCUGUCUACAGAGAAAGAAAGAGAUGCAUGCAAGCCUGAGCCUCGUGAAAAGAAACGCUUCUGUGGGACGUGAAAUCAGUUGUGGAAUCAAGUUUUAGAGGUGGAGGACACGUGGAGUCUAUGAAAGAAUGGAACAAGACCAGAUGCUGCAGGAGUGGGAAUGGAUAGUCAAACAUAUCCGGGCACGGGGAGGAAGAUGCUGUACAGGAUGUCCCUCCCCAGGGAAUAUAGUCAGCACCAUUCUGAUUUUCCUUCUGGAACCGCAUCGCCUGCUGGGUAAUCAGUUUGUGCGCGCUGCAAGGGAAGACCUCAGCAAAAGGAGUCCAGUGCAGCUAAGGUGCCAGGGCCAUGAAACAGCAGAACACCACUGCGCUCAGUGUCACAUUUUCAGUGAUCAUCUCUGUUUUGUUAUGCAGUGUGACCGGCUGCCUAAUGUUCCUACUGCCAUGCCUCCCUUGCCAUGGUGGAUUAUACUGGAAAACACAAAGAUAGUAACUCAGUGAAUCAAAUUAUAAUCAACAACUUGUUAAUUAUAUAUUCUUAAUAUUAAAUUUAAAAAACUUUAAGAUUUUUGAUAGAUAAAAUAUUUAGCUCUU
This 717-nucleotide long non-coding RNA is filed under the name Mus musculus (house mouse). Its description in RNAcentral is "RIKEN cDNA 4930555F03 gene". Lineage: Eukaryota; Metazoa; Chordata; Mammalia; Rodentia; Muridae. The record is from RNAcentral.